This 441-nucleotide ribosomal RNA is filed under the name uncultured bacterium. RNAcentral's name for it is "SSU rRNA". It matches the Rfam family "Bacterial small subunit ribosomal RNA", at positions 26 to 518 of the family's 1533-position model. The record is from RNAcentral.
AGAACGAACGCUGGCGGCAUGCCUAACACAUGCAAGUCGAACGAGACCUUCAGGUCUAGUGGCGCACGGGUGCGUAACGCGUGGGAAUCUGCCCUUGGGUUCGGAAUAACAGUUAGAAAUGACUGCUAAUACCGGAUGAUGACGUAAGUCCAAAGAUUUAUCGCCCAGGGAUGAGCCCGCGUAGGAUUAGCUAGUUGGUGGGGUAAAGGCCUACCAAGGCGACGAUCCUUAGCUGGUCUGAGAGGAUGAUCAGCCACACUGGGACUGAGACACGGCCCAGACUCCUACGGGAGGCAGCAGUGGGGAAUAUUGGACAAUGGGCGAAAGCCUGAUCCAGCAAUGCCGCGUGAGUGAUGAAGGCCUUAGGUUGUAAGCUCUUUACCGGGAUGAUAUGACAGUACCGGGAGAAUAAGCUCCGGCUAACUCCGCGCCAGCAGCCGC